UGCACACAUACAUCACACAUGUUUUAAAGUGACUUGAUAAUUAAUAUUGUUACACUUGAGAAAAAUCCUGGCUCUCCAUGGAGAAGUCAUGUCAUGAGUCAGAAGAGUGCAGGCUGAGGCAUGCCCUCCACUGAAUGGCUUGUCUGCACUCUGAAAGCCAAGUGAACCAACCAUUCCAUCCGUAUGAAGAGCGUAAGUCCUAGAUUUGCGUCGUGAUGUCAUCUCAGGUGCCACUGCUAUCUGUUCUGAGGUUCACUCUGUUCAGCAGCCUUGGACUCUUCAUGGAGUAACAGAUUGGUAUAACUACAGCCUUGAGCCUCACUUGAACCACCACAGCCUCUUCUGAACAGCCAGCAGUCCUUGAAGUCUCAGAGUCUUUUAACCAAAGGGUGUGGAUGUUUCCUUAUUGAUAUCAUCAAAGAUCUAGUGUAUCAAGAUGACAAACUUUGCUCCCUGUUGGGCCAAAAAGAGACAUAAAAUUUAAAACAACAACAACAAAACAAAACAAACAAAACAACAACGAUAAAAAACAGCCCUCUUCUUUUAGCAACUGUAGUACUGCACCAGGGAAGAGGUGGUCAUCAACUAUGAAGGAAUCCAGACCUUUAAUCCUGUAGAGCUUCCAAGUAAGGAUAAUGGGUCAACUACAACCUUCUUCCUAGGAUAUGUCGACGUGCACGGCAUUAGGAAAAUCUGCUCUUUAAAUUAAAAUACAAACUCAUGA
RNAcentral lists this long non-coding RNA (724 nucleotides) under Homo sapiens (human). Its description in RNAcentral is "HSALNT0386215". Lineage: Eukaryota; Metazoa; Chordata; Mammalia; Primates; Hominidae. The record is from RNAcentral.